UUAAGCAUAUUAAUUAGGGGAGGAAAAGAAACUAACCAGGAUUUUCUUAGUAGCGGCGAGCGAAAAGAAAUCAGUUCAGCACUAAGUCACUUUGUCUAUAUGGCAAACGUGAGAUGCAGUGUAUGGAGCGUCAAUAUUCUAGUAUGAGAAAUUAACGAUUUAAGUCCUUCUUAAAUGAGGCCAUUUACCCAUAGAGGGUGCCAGGCCCGUAUAACGUUAAUGAUUACUAGAUGAUGUUUCCAAAGAGUCGUGUUGCUUGAUAGUGCAGCACUAAGUGGGUGGUAAACUCCAUCUAAAACUAAAUAUAACCAUGAGACCGAUAGUAAACAAGUACCGUGAGGGAAAGUUGAAAAGAACUCUGAAUAGAGAGUUAAACAGUACGUGAAACUGCUUAGAGGUUAAGCCCGAUGAACCUGAAUAUCCGUUAUGGAAAAUUCAUCAUUAAAGUUGUAAUAUUUUAACAAUAUUAUAAUAAUAGUGUGCAUUUUUUCCAUAUAAGGACAUUGUAAUCUAUUAGCAUAUAACAAAUUUAUCAUAAAAUAUGACUUAUAGUUUAUUCAAAUUAUUAUGCUUGCAUUUUAACAUAGAAUAAAUGUCAUUAAUUUGAUAAAGUGUUGAUAAAUUAAAAUUAAUACAGUGCGUUAAUUUUUCGAAAUUAUAUAAUGGCAUAAUUAUCAUUGAUUUUUGUGUUUAUUAUAUGCAUUUGUAUGAUUAACAAUGCGAAAGAUUCAGGAUACCUUCGGGACCCGUCUUGAAACACGGACCAAGGAGUCUAACAUAUGUGCAAGUUAUUGGGAGAUAAACCUAAUAGCGUAAUUAACUUGACUAAUAAUGGGAUUAGUUUUUUAACUAUUUAUAGAUAAUUAACACAAUCCCGGGGCGUUCUAUAUAGUUAUGUAUGAUAAUAUUUAUAUUAUUUAUGCCUCUAACUGGAACGUACCUUGAGCAUAUAUGCUGUGACCCGAAAGAUGGUGAACUAUACUUGAUCAGGUUGAAGUCAGGGGAAACCCUGAUGGAAGACCGAAACAGUUCUGACGUGCAAAUCGAUUGUCAGAAUUGAGUAUAGGGGCGAAAGACCAAUCGAACCAUCUAGUAGCUGGUUCCUUCCGAAGUUUCCCUCAGGAUAGCUGGUGCAUUUUAAUGUUAUAUAAAAUAAUCUUAUCUGGUAAAGCGAAUGAUUAGAGGCCUUAGGGUCGAAACGAUCUUAACCUAUUCUCAAACUUUAAAUGGGUAAGAACCUUAACUUUCUUGAUAUGAAGUUUAAGGUUAUGAUAUAAUGUGCCCAGUGGGCCACUUUUGGUAAGCAGAACUGGCGCUGUGGGAUGAACCAAACGUAAUGUUACGGUGCCCAAAUUAACAACUCAUGCAGAAACCAUGAAAGGCGUUGGUUGCUUAAAACAGCAGGACGGUGAUCAUGGAAGUCGAAAUCCGCUAAGGAGUGUGUAACAACUCACCUGCCGAAGCAACUAGCCUUAAAAUGGAUGGCGCUUAAGUUGUAUACCUAUACAUUACGCUAAAGUAGAUGAUUUAUAUUACUUGUGAUAUAAAUUUUGAAACUUUAGUGAGUAGGAAGGUACAAUGGUAUGCGUAGAAGUGUUUGGCGUAAGCCUUCAUGGAGCUGCCAUUGGCACAGAUCUUGGUGGUAGUAGCAAAUAAUCGAAUGAGACCUUGGAGGACUGAAGUGGAGAAGGGUUUCGUGUGAACAGUGGUUGAUCACGAGUUAGUCGGUCCUAAGUUCAAGGCGAAAGCCGAAAAUUUUCAAGUAAAAAAUCAGUGAGUAAUAUUGUCAAAUCUUUUAUGAUUUUUAAAUACUUGAAUAAUUUUGAACGAAAGGGAAUACGGUUCCAAUUCCGUAACCUGUUGAGUAUCCGUUUGUUAUUAAAUAUGGGCCUCGUGCUCAUCCUGGCAACAGGAACGACCAUAAAGAAGCCGUCGAGAGAUAUCGGAAGAGUUUUCUUUUCUGUUUUAUAGCCGUACUACCAUGGAAGUCUUUCGCAGAGAGAUAUGGUAGAUGGGCUAGAAGAGCAUGACAUAUACUGUUGUGUCGAUAUUUUCUCUCGGACCUUGAAAAUUUAUGGUGGGGACACGCAAACUUCUCAACAGGCCGUACCAAUAUCCGCAGCUGGUCUCCAAGGUGAAGAGUCUCUAGUCGAUAGAAUAAUGUAGGUAAGGGAAGUCGGCAAAUUAGAUCCGUAACUUCGGGAUAAGGAUUGGCUCUGAAGAUUGAGAUAGUCGGGCUUGAUUGGGAAACAAUAACAUUGUAAAUAGAGUUUCUAUCAUUUAUGGUAGUUACUUGUUCCCCGGAUAGUUUAGUUACGUAGCCAAUUGUGGAACUUUCUUGCUAAAAUUUUUAAGAAUACUAAUUGGGUUAAACCAGUUAGUUCUUAUUAAUUAUAACGAUUAUCAAUUAACAAUCAAUUCAGAACUGGCACGGACUUGGGGAAUCCGACUGUCUAAUUAAAACAAAGCAUUGUGAUGGCCCUAGCGGGUGUUGACACAAUGUGAUUUCUGCCCAGUGCUCUGAAUGUCAAAGUGAAGAAAUUCAAGUAAGCGGGGAAGAUAUGGGUCUGAAUAAUAGCGUAGAAGGGGAGUCAUUCCGUAAUUCGUAAAUCGUAAAAAUCAGAUCAAGUUGAUUCAAGACCUCCUCGUGGUAUCUUCUGGAUGCUAUUAGACUGAAGUUCUUUUGGUCUAAUAGUAACUAACUUGAACAGCGAAACAGUCCUAUGGGGUUGCCAGCCCCUUGGACAGUUCAGUUUGAUUGGCACUAAUAUGCAAAAUACAACGCCUCGGAUAAUAAACACUAAUUCGUUGACGAACCAAAUCCCUACGGUCUCUAGCCUAGGGGCCCAAUCUGAACAUAGUGCACAGGUUAACCCAAACAGUGGUUACCAAUGCACGAUAUGUGAAUCGUCUUUCCGUAGCAAAAGCGGACUAGGCGUUCACAUGUCACGUCGGCACAAGGACGAGUUUGAUCAACUUCGUCUGCGUACCGACCGUAAGGCACAAUGGAGUGAGGAAGAGUUGAGUAUGAUGGCAAGAAAAGAGAUCGAGCUCGCAGCAAAUGGAGAAAGAUAUCUAAAUAAGAAGCUAGCGGAAGUAUUUA
RNAcentral lists this ribosomal RNA (3103 nucleotides) under Drosophila pseudoobscura pseudoobscura. RNAcentral describes it as "eukaryotic LSU rRNA". The stretch from base 1 to 2679 matches the Rfam family "Eukaryotic large subunit ribosomal RNA". Lineage: Eukaryota; Metazoa; Arthropoda; Insecta; Diptera; Drosophilidae. The record is from RNAcentral.